RNAcentral lists this ribosomal RNA (467 nucleotides) under uncultured bacterium. RNAcentral describes it as "partial 16S ribosomal RNA". It matches the Rfam family "Bacterial small subunit ribosomal RNA", at positions 29 to 507 of the family's 1533-position model. The record is from RNAcentral.
ACGAACGCUGGCGGCGUGCUUAACACCUGCAAGUCGAACGGAAAGGCCCUGCUCUUGUGGGGUGCUCGAGUGGCGAACGGGUGAGUAACACGUGAGUAACCUGCCCUUGACUUUGGGAUAACUUCAGGAAACUGGGGCUAAUACCGGAUAGGAGCUCCUGCUGCAUGGUGGGGGUUGGAAAGUUUCGGCGGUUGGGGAUGGACUCGCGGCUUAUCAGCUUGUUGGUGGGGUAGUGGCUUACCAAGGCUUUGACGGGUAGCCGGCCUGAGAGGGUGACCGGCCACAUUGGGACUGAGAUACGGCCCAGACUCCUACGGGAGGCAGCAGUGGGGAAUAUUGCACAAUGGGCGGAAGCCUGAUGCAGCAACGCCGCGUGCGGGAUGACGGCCUUCGGGUUGUAAACCGCUUUCGCCUGUGACGAAGCGUGAGUGACGGUAAUGGGUAAAGAAGCACCGGCUAACUACGUG